This 801-nucleotide long non-coding RNA is filed under the name Helianthus annuus (common sunflower). The record is from RNAcentral. Lineage: Eukaryota; Viridiplantae; Streptophyta; Magnoliopsida; Asterales; Asteraceae.
AUGUUCGAAAAUAGCCAAGGAGAUUAUUGAAAUGUUUCAUGAAUUUUAAAUUCGUUCAUGAUACAUUAUAAUGGGUCGGUGCAAGUUGAGAUAAAUUUGGAAAUUAAUUGGUCUUGGAUAAGUCUUGAGACUUUUAAUGCAAAUCCAAAUUUGAAAUGAAUUUACAAAUCGAAUAUCAUUUAAAAAAGGGGUUGUUAGGAUGGAGUAAAAAGGUGGGGAAGCAACCAAGCAAGUUGGUUUGUGUCUAUAUUUAAUUUGAAGGAUGGAAGGAAGCAACGAGUAGCAGGUGAAUUAAAAAAAAAAAACUUAGUUGCGAUAAAGAAGAAAGCAACACAAGAGCAAUACUGGAGUCAAGUCGGAUCUUCAUGAACUGAUUAAGGCAUGAAGCAAGUUUAAGCAAGAAACCCGAUCCGUGCGGUUCGUUUAGCAUGACGAGCAAGAAAGAAUGAAGAAACUUGUCAAGAUUAAGGGGGUGAGUGUAGGUUAAUCUUGACGGGUUUUAAUAUGGGUUUUAGGGUACCGGAAAUGGAGCUUCGUAAUCGGAUACGGGUCAAACGAAUCAGCAGAAAAGUUAUUUAUGUCACAUGGUUUUUAUGUUUUAUUUGGUCAAAUAUUGGUGUUCAGUCAUGGUUAGUUUUACUCAUUUGUAGGAGUAGUGGUUAGUUAGUUUCCUUUAUUUACUCAUUUGUAUGUAGCUAAAUGUGUGUAUAUAUGUUUGGUGUUGCAAUGAAUAAAAGUGUGGGUUUGAAGCAGUAAAAUAAGUUUCCUAUUCGUGAGUUUAUCUUUGUGUAUUUUUGUGUU